This 398-nucleotide ribosomal RNA is filed under the name uncultured bacterium. RNAcentral's name for it is "partial 16S ribosomal RNA". It matches the Rfam family "Bacterial small subunit ribosomal RNA", at positions 360 to 776 of the family's 1533-position model. The record is from RNAcentral.
AAUAUUGCACAAUGGAGGAAACUCUGAUGCAGCGACGCCGCGUGAGCGAUGAAGGCUUUCGAGUCGUAAAGCUCUGUCCUAGGGGACGAUAAUGACGGUACCCUAGGAGGAAGCCCCGGCCAACUACGUGCCAGCAGCCGCGGUAAUACGUAGGGGGCGAGCGUUGUCCGGAAUUAUUGGGCGUAAAGGGUUCGCAGGCGGCCUUUUAAGUCAGAUGUGAAAGCCCACAGCUUAACCGUGGUAAGCAUUUGAAACUGGAAGGCUUGAGUUAAGGAGAGGAAAGUGGAAUUCCUAGUGUAGCGGUGAAAUGCGUAGAUAUUAGGAGGAACACCAGUGGCGAAGGCGACUUUCUGGACUGUAACUGACGCUGAUGCACGAAAGCGUGGGUAGCGAACAGG